AUUGAACGCUGGCGGCAGGCCUAACACAUGCAAGUCGAACGGUAACAGGAAGAAGCUUGUUUCUUUGCUGACGAGUGGCGGACGGGUGAGUAAUGUCUGGGAAACUGCCUGAUGGAGGGGGAUAACUACUGGAAACGGUAGCUAAUACCGCAUAACGUCGCAAGACUAAAGAGGGGGACCUUCGGGCCUCUUGCCAUCGGAUGUGCCCAGAUGGGAUUAGCUAGUAGGUGGGGUAACGGCUCACCUAGGCGACGAUCCCUAGCUGGUCUGAGAGGAUGACCAGCCACACUGGAACUGGGACUCGGUCCAGACUCCUACGGGAGGCAGCAGUGGGGAAUAUUGCACAAUGGGCGGAAGCCUGAUGCAGCCAUGCCGCGUGUAUGAAGAAGGCCUUCGGGUUGUAAAGUACUUUUAGCGGGGAGGAAGGGAGUAAAGUUAAUACCUUUUCUCAUUGACGUUACCCGCAGAAGAAGCACCGGCUAACUCCGUG
RNAcentral lists this ribosomal RNA (490 nucleotides) under uncultured bacterium. RNAcentral describes it as "partial 16S ribosomal RNA". It matches the Rfam family "Bacterial small subunit ribosomal RNA", at positions 30 to 507 of the family's 1533-position model. The record is from RNAcentral.